GGAGUUGAUUGUGUGCUUCUUGG
RNAcentral lists this non-coding RNA (23 nucleotides) under Arabidopsis thaliana (thale cress). Lineage: Eukaryota; Viridiplantae; Streptophyta; Magnoliopsida; Brassicales; Brassicaceae. The record is from RNAcentral.